AUAAAUUGAAAAAUAAACUUGGAGUCAAUUAUAGGAGGUGAGAGUAAGUCUUCUAAGCCACAGUUCUGCUAAAAGAAAGCAACAGCCAUUCCAUAUAGGCUCUCGUCCUCCAGAUGUUCAGAUGGCUAUCUAUAUGUUAUCUGAUAAUCCUUAUUGGAUGAAUAAAUGCAGAGAUCUUAGAGCUUUUAGAGAGUUUUUACAGAGACUUUUAUUCUGUUUCUUUUAAGUUCUAUGGAUAUGUUUUCCUCAGGCCCUUAACAACUGACUUUCCAGGUAGAUGAAAUAAGAUGUUUGACCUUCAUAACUAAAAAAACAUACAAUAAAGUUGGUUUGGACUGGAGGUAUCUGUUUUUGCCUUCUUCCUAGCACAUGCCUUAAAUCAAUCACACGCUUUUUAUGCUUUAUUUUUUUUUCAUUUAGGUUGUGAUCAAAAUAUGACAACAGAAUUUUAGAUGUUGGGAAGAUCCCAACUGGGAAAUUCUUGUUACUCUGAGCCUCUUUGCUAGAGGUACGUUAACCGGCUUUCUGUAGUGUUAUAAACAAAAAAUAAUUUGAGUUGGCAAUUAAAAAGUUGCUGAUGAGGUCUUCUUUCUUGGAAGGGCCAAAUAUCUCCAUGUGGAGAUAGCAAAAAUUAAAUUAAAAAGUAAUUAAAAUUUAAAUUUGUUUUCUGCAUUCUGAAGGUGGUGAAUAUCAGUUCUGCUGGUCAUGUUUUCCCUUCUGCAUAUUCUCUUUUGGAAUGUGAAAAGACAAAGCCCUGUCCUAAUUCUCAAUAAAGAUGUAAUUGACCUGCUAUGAUUUUUGAAAGUCACAGUUCAUCUUUUUUCUUCAGGAUGAUUUUCCUUACAAGUUCUGUAACAUGAGGUCUUAUUUCUUCAACAGAGACAGUAGAGUCCCAGGCCUUUACUACUUUCCCAUUGGGGUCUACUAAGUAUUUCCAGAAGUUCCAGGUUGGUUCUUCUCCAGUAGAAUCAAUUAAGUACUUGAAGGCAGGAAUUGCACCAGCUCCACUGACCGCAACUUUGCUGAACAUAGGAAAGGAGGCACCGUAAGUCUUUCGUGCAAAACUCUCUAUUUCUUUGUUGGUGUCUGGUUCUUGCUGCCCAAACUGAUUGCAUGGGAAUGCCAGCACAUUGAAAUGAUAUGGGCCAAGAUCUUUCUGUAACUGUUGUAAGGCCUUGUAGUGACUAUCUGUAAACCCAC
This 1200-nucleotide long non-coding RNA is filed under the name Gallus gallus (chicken). The record is from RNAcentral. Lineage: Eukaryota; Metazoa; Chordata; Aves; Galliformes; Phasianidae.